RNAcentral lists this ribosomal RNA (1010 nucleotides) under uncultured bacterium. RNAcentral describes it as "bacterial SSU rRNA". It matches the Rfam family "Bacterial small subunit ribosomal RNA", at positions 28 to 1027 of the family's 1533-position model. The record is from RNAcentral.
AUUGAACGCUGGCGGCAGACCUAACACAUGCAAGUCGAGCGGCAGCGGGAAAGUAGCUUGCUACUUUUGCCGGCGAGCGGCGGACGGGUGAGUAAUGCCUGGGGAUCUGCCCAGUCGAGGGGGAUAACUACUGGAAACGGUAGCUAAUACCGCAUACGCCCUACGGGGGAAAGCAGGGGACCUUCGGGCCUUGCGCGAUUGGAUGAACCCAGGUGGGAUUAGCUAGUUGGUGAGGUAAUGGCUCACCAAGGCGACGAUCCCUAGCUGGUCUGAGAGGAUGAUCAGCCACACUGGAACUGAGACACGGUCCAGACUCCUACGGGAGGCAGCAGUGGGGAAUAUUGCACAAUGGGGGAAACCCUGAUGCAGCCAUGCCGCGUGUGUGAAGAAGGCCUUCGGGUUGUAAAGCACUUUCAGCGAGGAGGAAAGGUUGGUAGCUAAUAACUGCCAGCUGUGACGUUACUCGCAGAAGAAGCACCGGCUAACUCCGUGCCAGCAGCCGCGGUAAUACGGAGGGUGCAAGCGUUAAUCGGAAUUACUGGGCGUAAAGCGCACGCAGGCGGUUGGAUAAGUUAGAUGUGAAAGCCCCGGGCUCAACCUGGGAAUUGCAUUUAAAACUGUCCAGCUAGAGUCUUGUAGAGGGGGGUAGAAUUCCAGGUGUAGCGGUGAAAUGCGUAGAGAUCUGGAGAAAUACCGGUGGCGAAGGCGGCCCCCUGGACAAAGACUGACGCUCAGGUGCGAAAGCGUGGGGAGCAAACAAAAGUAGAUACCCUGGUAGUCCACGCCGUAAACGACCCAGUAGGAGGCUGUGUCCUUGAGACGUGGCUUCCGGAGCUAACGCGUUAAAUCGACCGCCUGGGGAGUACGGCCGCAAGGUUAAAACUCAAAUGAAUUGACGGGGGCCCGCACAAGCGGUGGAGCAUGUGGUUUAAUUCGAUGCAACGCGAAGAACCUUACCUGGCCUUGACAUGUCUGGAAUCCUGUAGAGAUACGGGAGUGCCUUCGGGAAU